UUUAUGACCAACAUGGGCAGAGAAUAGUUACUUCUGUUUAUAAAACAUUAUUAUUUCAUCAAAUGGAAAAAUGUUAGUUGUCAUAAAGUGAAGUGUGUUAGAUGAUCAGUCUGUUUUUAAACUGCUGAAAAUAUCAUUGUUCAUGACUGAACAGAAAACUGAGUGGAAACAAGUCACUGAASGAACUGAUGUCAGACACAAAGCAGAAAUGAAGGUGUUGCCRUGAAAAGAUAUUUCUGGUCAUUUUAAUAUUAAAGUUUGUUCCUCUUCUUUAAGUCACUUCUUCAUGUGUUGAAAUUAAGGUUGAACWCAGUUUGGAGGAAGAUAAUUUCUCUGCAGACUUCAUGAGCACAUAAAACUAUUAAACUUCCUCCUGACAAGAUGUGUGGAGCUCUGACUUUACUUCUCAUCACCUGUUUGCUGCAGGGUUCUCGGUGUCAAGCCUACAAUGUCUCUUUGCUGCAGAAUGUAGACGUUAUAAUUGGAUCCUGUGUGACCGUCCCUUGCUCGUUUCAGGUGGAAAGUGAAGAAAAAUUAAGUGACCAAUGUAAAGCAAUAUGGCAUCUAAAGUCAACCAAAGCUCCUAAACUAACUGAAACAAAUCCACUAACAGGAAACCUAGCAAAGAAAAACUGCACCACCACCUUCAGCAAUGUGCAGCAUAAACACAAAAACAAAUAUUAUUUCAGACUGGAAUGUCCUGGAGACCUAAAAUUUAGUUUUAAGGAUUCGAAUGUGAAUAUUAACGUCACAAGUAAGUUUUAUUACCAUUUAAAAAAAUUUAAAAGUGAAAAAAAAAACAUGAAGCAAUUAAAACUGGGCAGUCUGUUAUAUUGCUUUUAACAAGUUUAUUAAAUAAAAAAAAUAAAGUUGAACUUUUCUCCCAGAUGCUCCUCCAUCACCAACUCUGACUCCGCCCACACUGAAGGUGAAGGAGGGAGACUCGGUGAGUCUGAAGUGCUCGGCUCCAGCUCCCUGUCUGCCUCAUCCUCCAACUCUGACAUGGACCCCCAGAGUGGGGGACAGUCACGAGACCCUACAGAAAAAUCAGGACCAAACUCACGUUAGGACCUCUGUUCUGAGCUUCACUGCUUCUGUCCACCAUCAUGGACAGAA
This is a long non-coding RNA of Austrofundulus limnaeus, 1116 nucleotides long. RefSeq lists it as uncharacterized. The transcript has 3 exons. The record is from RefSeq and is a predicted model, not a curated record. Lineage: Eukaryota; Metazoa; Chordata; Actinopteri; Cyprinodontiformes; Rivulidae.